Molecule: non-coding RNA, 27 nt
Filed under: Mus musculus (house mouse)
Lineage: Eukaryota; Metazoa; Chordata; Mammalia; Rodentia; Muridae
Also listed under: 1 other name
Source: RNAcentral
UGUGAAGAAAAAUUGUUUUGAAUAUUA